UACUAAAGUAGUCAGAUUGUGGAUUCAUCCAUAGGGGUAUUUUGCUUCUGCACCAAAGAACAUUUUUUGAGGAGUCUCGAAAGGUUAUGAAAAUACCCAUUAUCUUUAGUAACUUUCUAGUAACCUAUUACCUAUAUAUCUAGAAUUGCUUUCUUUCCUCAGGGUUGGCUCCUUGCGACGGACAGUGACAUAUGUAGGGUAGAAAGAGCACCAAAGGAUAAAAGGAUAUAGAUUUCCAUCCCCAGUUUUAUCUCAAGCUUUCUGCAGAUAAUGGGAAGCAGUCACCCAAGGCGCAUAAGCUAGGGGUGCUUGAAAUAGAGGUGAUAAUUGGGGUCAUGUGUUUAUUUGAAUAAAGAAGAAGUGAAGAGAAAAAUGCUCUGAUCUGGUGACUUCUGAUUUCCUCAGAAAAUAGACCUUCAGAAGGAAAAAGCAAGGAGAUAUCUAGACACACAUAGAAAAGAAAUGAUAAAGGUCUGCCUACAAGGAAGGCUACUAGUAACUAUAAUAAUAGGAACCAUUGACUUAGAACCUUCUGUUCCUGGUUUUCAUUCCCUUUUAAAAUCCUAAUUUGUGCUAAUCAGAAAAAGACUAUUUAGCAUCUAUUUAGGUGCUGAAAUUCUGUAGCUUCUCAUUUAUUUUCUGUAAAGUUAAGCUAUGCAG
Molecule: long non-coding RNA, 660 nt
Filed under: Homo sapiens (human)
Lineage: Eukaryota; Metazoa; Chordata; Mammalia; Primates; Hominidae
Description: non-protein coding lnc-VPS50-1:13
Source: RNAcentral